CGCCGCUGCUAUGGGCGCCACUGUUGUUGUGAAGCCCCGACGCCGCCGCUCACUCCGCCAUGUUGCCGCCCCCUGCCUGCGGUAGCGGCCACUGCGCCUGCGCAGAGCCUCCGGGGGGCGGAGCCCUGGCGGCACCCCCUCUUUCGCCCUGCCCUCCUUCUCCUUCCACCCACCCACCCCGACACCCCUUGUCCCUCCCCCAACCACUCUGAACGGAUAGACAGGUGAGCAGGUGCAUGGGGACCGCUGCCAGACACUGGGGCGAGCUGGCGGAGGCGGGGCGGGUGGUGGCUUCCUCGUAAUUUCUCCCUGGAGGGUGGAUUCUCCCUGUGGGGAAGGACACAGAGUGUGUGUGUCUUGCCUUCGCUGCCACCUCCUUAUUCCCUCAAUAUCCUCUUGCUAGGGGGAGAUUCAUCUUCGUCGUCGCACCCAGCUGCUGCUACUGCCAGUGCCACGUGCCUUGCAAGGGCAAGGCGAUAUGGAAGCACAGGUUCCAUCCCUGGACUAGUGCAGUGGGUUAAGAAACUGGCAUUGGCACAACUAUGGGAUAAAGAAGCACCAGCAGAGCUGGCGAGCAGAAACCUGGCCUCAGGGCAAAAGAGAUGCCACAGAAAUAGUUACACAGGCCUCGGAAGGGAAGCCUCCACUGCGUGUACGGCCCCCGUGGACUGCCACAGGAUUUCCUAGGAUCCUCCUGGAAGCCUCAAAGAAUGGGUCAGAUUUUUUGGAUUCUAAGCAUCAUGACACUCUAUAAAAGAGAGCCUGGAGCAACCUUGAAAUUAAGCCACACAGGCAGCCAUUUACUUGGUUAAUGAACAUUGCUAUUUCAUUGGUUUUAAGGUAAGUAUAAUUUAGAUCAAUGCCUUGAAGAAACACUGUAAAUUAUCACUUGGAGAGUUUUCCAUUCUCUUUCAAGAGCAGCUCCUAUCUUCAUUGUAACAACUGCUUUUUCCAGAGGGACCAUGCCUGCAGUAACUCUUCAUGUAUAACAUCAUAGGUACCUGUAUCACUUUUGUUGUAAUGUAAUCCAGUUCAUGUUUAUUCCAUUUUACAAUUAACUUGGGGAAACAAGGAACCGUUGAACCACUAGCAUGAAUUGAAUCUAUGAGAAUUUUUCAUCUUCACGAAAUUUAUCCUGAAGUGCUUUUCUUUAGAUUUCUGACAUAUUUGAAUCGAAGAUUUGAGAAUACUAAAGUCACUGUCAGUUACCACGAGGGAAUGCGUUUAGAAAUAUUUUUCAAUUUGGUGAUCACAAAAGAAAUUUGACAUACAUUUAAAAACUGUCAGUUUACCAUUUUGUGGUUAUCACCAAGGAUAAAAUACAUUGUAAUUUUAAAUGGCAGAGUUUGUUAUAGAAAUCAGUUUUGCCAUUGUCUUUUGAGUAUUGCAAAUGCAAAGACCAUAUAUUAAAGUCCAGGAUUUAUAUAAUCUUUAUAAAAUUCUGGGAUAAACCAGAUUUGUGAAUUUGCAUGACACAGACAUCAGAUGUGUGACUAUGGGGUUUGUAGAUGAAUGGUAGGGUUUGUUCUAAUGUCUUUAAUCACCUCUCACACCUUUCAAUUCAUCAUUUUGAAAAUGGUAAUUGAGUAUGACCAUAUUCUGUUGUGCAAAAAUGACUUAGAAACCAUAGGGACUACAUUCUCCAGUGUGCGCAAAGAGCAUUUCUUCUUGGAUGUUAAAAAGCAUUAAAUUGAAAUUCGAUAUAUUAAUGUAAUUUUACCCG
Molecule: long non-coding RNA, 1723 nt
Filed under: Sus scrofa (pig)
Lineage: Eukaryota; Metazoa; Chordata; Mammalia; Artiodactyla; Suidae
Description: lncRNA (ENSSSCG00030070258.1)
Source: RNAcentral